RNAcentral lists this ribosomal RNA (807 nucleotides) under uncultured Glomeraceae. Its description in RNAcentral is "LSU rRNA". It matches the Rfam family "Eukaryotic large subunit ribosomal RNA", at positions 47 to 694 of the family's 3401-position model. Lineage: Eukaryota; Fungi; Glomeromycota; Glomeromycetes; Glomerales; Glomeraceae. The record is from RNAcentral.
UAAGCGGAGGAAAAGAAACUAACAAUGAUUCCCUUAGUAACGGCGAGUGAAGGGGGAAAAGCUCAAAUUUUAAAUCUGCUAGGUUUUACCUAUCAGAGUUGUAUUUUGAAGAAGCGUUUUCCGCGUCUCGGUUGACCCAAAUCCUUUGGGAUGAGGUAUCAUGGAGGGUGAGAAUCCCGUCCGGUUGACCUUAUGACGCUUUACGAUACGUUUUUCAAAGAGUCGAGUUGUUUGGGAUUGCAGCUCAAAAUGGGAGGUAAAUUUCUCCUAAGGCUAAAUAUUGGCGAGAGACCAAUAGUGAACAAGUACCGUGAGGGAAAGAUGAAAAGAACUUUGAAAAGAGAGUAAAAUAGUACGUGAAAUUGUUGAAAGGGAAACGAUUGAAGUCAGUCAUACCGACGAGAAAUCAGCUCUUCGAGUGUGAACUUGUGGGCGUGUGAGAGCUUUAAACCCUCGCUGUUUGCAACGUUUGUGCCUUUUGGGUGUACUUUUUCGUAUGGUAGGCCAACAUCAGUUUCGAGCACCAUAAAAUGACCGGCGGAAUGUAGCUUCGAUCUUGUAUUGAAGUGUUAUAGCUUCUGGUAGAUGUGGUGUUCGGGACUGAGGAUUGCAACGAAUACCUUUUAGGCUAUCCGUCUGAUCUCUGAAAGUCGCUUAGGUGCCGAAAAGCAUGCUUACGGUUAUUUAAGUUUGACGGUCAAAAGGUUGAACGUGAUUACAUUCGUUAAGAUGUUGGCGUUAAUGGGCUUUAAAACGACCCGUCUUUGAAAACACGGACCAAGGAGUCUAACAUGUAAUGCGAGUGUU